Molecule: long non-coding RNA, 672 nt
Filed under: Elaeis guineensis (African oil palm)
Lineage: Eukaryota; Viridiplantae; Streptophyta; Magnoliopsida; Arecales; Arecaceae
Description: long non-coding RNA (EGUI_LNC078896)
Source: RNAcentral
GCUUCUCCAGCGAUAAGCUUCUUCGGUCGUCUAUCAGGCUGCUCCAAGUGCUCUCUGGAUUCUACUAUCGGCCGACCUCCUACAAGGGUCAACCAUUCUCCGGACCUCUUCCAGAUCUUUCCAACAGGAUUCGGUUGACUCCAAUCCGAAUUUCUUUCAGAACUUCAUCAGUUCGUCAGUGGCCGAACUUUUCCAAUAGCAGAUCUCUACAACGGACAGACUCCAUCCAAGUUUCUACGAUGGUCGACCGCCUUCUGGAUUUCAUCCAAGCUCCUACGGGAGUCGGACUUCUUUCCCGAACUCCUACUGCAGGUAGACUUUGUCCGAGCUCCUACGGGAGCCGAACUUCAGCCCUGAGCUCCUAUUGCAGGUAGACCUCAUCCGAAUUCUUACAAGGGCAGGGCUCCCAGCCCCCACCACAAGCGAUCUACUCCGAGCUUCUACUACAAGCGAUCUACUCUGAGCUACCACUACAAGCGGUCUACUUCAAAUUUCUACUACGAGCGGUCCACGUCGGAUUUCUACUGUAAGCCUCCACCUGAGCUUCUAUUGUGAACGAAUUCCUUCCGAACUUCUAUUGCAAGCAGGCUUCGAUCGAGCAUCCUCAACAAAUGAUCCCCAUCUAGACUUCUACGGGAACCAGACUCCGACCGAACUUCUGUAGUGGACAGA